AUCCAGUCGACGAGUCCCAAAUAGGAUGAAACCAGCGUCCUGGAU
RNAcentral lists this non-coding RNA (45 nucleotides) under Schistosoma mansoni. Lineage: Eukaryota; Metazoa; Platyhelminthes; Trematoda; Strigeidida; Schistosomatidae. The record is from RNAcentral.